Nerophis ophidion (straightnose pipefish) is the source of this 424-nucleotide long non-coding RNA. RefSeq lists it as uncharacterized. The transcript is spliced from 3 exons. The record is from RefSeq and is a predicted model, not a curated record. NCBI's taxonomy places the organism in Eukaryota, Metazoa, Chordata, Actinopteri, Syngnathiformes, Syngnathidae.
CAUGGAAGUUAUACAGCUCACGUAUCACACUUAAUAUUGAAUAUAUAUAAAAAGGGUUUUCCAAAAGGACCACUUAUAAGCGAAAUACAAAACUUCACACACGAUUUUGAGCACAACAGGGCGCUCAGUGAACAGCACUUCCGGGACCUGCAUCACCGGAGGGGGACAUCUAUCUUGGCCACAAACCAUCUUUGACAGUCUUCGACAGCAUGGUUGAAUCAGGCGCAUCAACACAUGAUAUAGACAUCGUGUCCAAAAGAAGAGCGAGACGUAAUCCUGAGGCUGAAGCCACCGAGUUUAUUUGAUCUGGAUGUGACAAGUCUUGUUUUAAGGCCCAGUGGAUCAAUGAUUGGAAAGACACCAACUGUUGAUGUUCUAUCUCACCAUUCUCCAGACUCAUGUGAGCGAUAAACCGACUUCAUCC